Molecule: ribosomal RNA, 435 nt
Filed under: crenarchaeote SCGC AAA007-N23
Lineage: Archaea; Thermoproteati; Thermoproteota
Description: SSU rRNA
Rfam family: Archaeal small subunit ribosomal RNA
Source: RNAcentral
GCCGCGGUAAAACCAGCACCUCAAGUGGUCAGGAGGAUUAUUGGGCCUAAAGCAUCCGUAGCCGGCUCUGUAAGUUUUCGGUUAAAUCCAUGUGCUCAACGCAUGGGCUGCCGAAAAUACUGCAUAGCUAGGGAGUGGGAGAGGUAGACGGUACUCGGUAGGAAGGGGUAAAAUCCUUUGAUCUAUCGAUGACCACCUGUGGCGAAGGCGGUCUACCAGAACACGUUCGACGGUGAGGGAUGAAAGCUGGGGGAGCAAACCGGAUUAGAUACCCGGGUAGUCCCAGCUGUAAACGAUGCAGACUCGAUGAUGCAUUGGCAUAUAGCCAGUGCAGUGUCGCAGGGAAGCCGUUAAGUCUGCCGCCUGGGAAGUACGUACGCAAGUAUGAAACUUAAAGGAAUUGGCGGGGGAGCACGGUCAUACUUUGUUUCCUGA